UACGUAGGGUGCAAGCGUUAAUCGGAAUUACUGGGCGUAAAGCGUGCGCAGGCGGCUUUGUAAGUCUGAUGUGAAAUCCCCGGGCUCAACCUGGGAAUUGCAUUGGAGACUGCAAGGCUAGAAUCUGGCAGAGGGGGGUAGAAUUCCACGUGUAGCAGUGAAAUGCGUAGAUAUGUGGAGGAACACCGAUGGCGAAGGCAGCCCCCUGGGUCAAGAUUGACGCUCAUGCACGAAAGCGUGGGGAGCAAACAGG
Molecule: ribosomal RNA, 253 nt
Filed under: uncultured bacterium
Lineage: Bacteria
Description: partial 16S ribosomal RNA
Rfam family: Bacterial small subunit ribosomal RNA
Source: RNAcentral